CUUAAGGCCAAACAACCUGCCACAAUUCAGGUUAAGGUGCCCAAGCUUAAUGUUGCUCCGCCCCCACAAGUGCCUGUAGGUGAUGGUGGUGGUGGAAGCAGUGGGGACGGUGAGGAGGUCGCUGCUAUUGCUUCAGCUAAGACUAAGUGUGUUGCUUUGCAGAAGAAAGCUGCUUCUGCAUCUAUGAUGGCUAAGGAUUUUGCUAGACAAUUUGAGUCUGGAGAUGUGGAGGUUAGGAACCGCAGUUCUAAAAAACGUAGGUUUUCAUGAAUUUGUAUGUGGAAUGUGAAAAUUAUGAUUGUUUAAUCAAUCGAAUUCUCUGUUGUCCUAUUUAACAGU
Molecule: unclassified non-coding RNA, 339 nt
Filed under: Hevea brasiliensis (rubber tree)
Lineage: Eukaryota; Viridiplantae; Streptophyta; Magnoliopsida; Malpighiales; Euphorbiaceae
Source: RNAcentral